This is a long non-coding RNA of Coregonus clupeaformis (lake whitefish), 836 nucleotides long. RefSeq lists it as uncharacterized. The record is from RefSeq and is a predicted model, not a curated record. The transcript has 4 exons. Lineage: Eukaryota; Metazoa; Chordata; Actinopteri; Salmoniformes; Salmonidae.
GUUGUCUCUCACUGGGUCAGGAGGAUAACUGGCCUAUUAAUGCUGUGUGGGAGAGAGAUGGGACGCGAAAUCCGAGAGAAAAGAUGGAGGUCUUGCCUGAAGUGGAGACUGACAAAGAUGUUGCCAUUGAUGAAGCUGAAGAGGAUGGACCGGAUGAGUGCAAUGAAGAGGACCCUCUGCAAUAACCUUGACAAUGUGUUCCCUAAGGUGGUGGAGCGGUUCAAUCGAGACGGGUCCAAGACAGCUGGGGAGGAUGUAGCAGAAUGGAUCUUCCUAGUGUCUGAUGACAGGAUCCAAGUGACAUACCACCCGGGAGGAUGACUAUGGUGUUUGUCCAAUGGUCUUUAUGUAUGUGCUUUCAGGUAGAUCCAUUUGAGAGGCCCAGUAAGAAUAUCUUUCUGUAUGAAAUGCUAGUCCAUAUGAUGGAGGAGGAGAAUGUGGCACAGUCAAUGAGUCUGAGAAAGAGGAGUGUUGUGUAUGUACUUUGGCAUGAAUUAAUGUGUUCAAAUUAGAGAAAUAACAAAGUAAUAAACAGUAUUUUUGCUCAGGUGAGGGCAAUACUGGGUGUGAGAGAACAAGAAGAGGGCAGUACUGAGCUUCACAUCUCCAUCUACAACACAGUGAGGAAUGAGAGAGCAUGCUGUCACUGAGAGGCACUAUAGAGGAUGGCCAAAGAGGAGCAUCUUCGACAGGAGGUGAAGAAGCUGGACGUCUUAGCACCGUUUCUGGCCCAGCUGGGUGACCCAGAGAACCUGACCAGACCGGCUGCUAUACAGCUGACAUGAAGAAGCAGCUCGUCGAUAAAGCCAACCUCAUACAGGCUAGUUUUGAGAGGG